GGUCAAGUUAUUAAGAGCAUAGGGCGAAUGCCUUGGCACCAAGAGCCGAUGAAGGACGGGAUAAGCACCGAUAUGCUUCGGGGAGUCGCAAAUAGACACUGAUCCGGAGAUUUCCGAAUGGGGAAACCCACUUGAGCAACCCUCAAGUAUCAAGCGCUGAAUAAAAUAGGCGCUUAGAAGGAAGACCAGGGGAACUGAAACAUCUAAGUACCCUGAGGAAGAGAAAGAAAAUUCGAUUUCCUAAGUAGCGGCGAGCGAACGGGAAACAGCCCAAACCGUAUUUAUACGGGGUUAAGGACAGAGCAAAGGAUGUAAUAUUAGUAGACGAAGGGUCUGGGAAGAUCUACCAAAGAGAGUGAUAGUCUCGUAGUCGAAAUUAAUAUUACACAGGCUCUUGAUCCAGAGUACCACGGGACACGAGAAAUCCUGUGGGAAGUAGGGGGGACCACCCCCCAAGGCUAAAUACUCCUUGGUGACCGAUAGUGAAGUAGUACCGUGAGGGAAAGGUGAAAAGAACCCCGGAAGGGGAGUGAAAUAGAAUCUGAAACCCUAUGCUUACAAGCAGUGGAAGCACUUUUUAUGUGUAACCACGUACUUUUUGUAGAACGGGCCAGCGAGUUAUGGUAUAGAGCAAGGUUAAGAAGUUAAGCUUCGGAGCCGUAGCGAAAGCAAGUCUUAAUAGGGCGAUUAUAGUUCUAUGCCAUAGACCCGAAACUGAGUGAUCUAUCCAUGGGCAGAGUGAAGUUUUAGUAAAAUAAAAUGGAGGCUCGAACCGGGUAACGUUUAAAAGUUAUCGGAUGACCUGUGGAUAGGGGUGAAAAGCCAAUCGAACUCAGAGAUAGCUGGUUCUCCUCGAAAUAGCUUUAGGGCUAGCCUCAAGGAAAUAGUGAUAUGGAGGUAGAGCACUGAAUGGUCUAGGGGCGCACAAGCGUUACCAAAACCUAUCAAACUCCGAAUGCCAUAAUCAUAACCUUGGGAGUCAGACUGUGUGGGAUAAGCUUCACAGUCAAAAGGGAAACAGCCCAGACCACCAGCUAAGGUCCCCAAAUCCAAAUUAAGUGUGAAAGGAUGUGGAGUUUCACAGACAACCAGGAUGUUGGCUUAGAAGCAGCCAUACAUUUAAAGAGUGCGUAAUAGCUCACUGGUCGAGAGAUUCUGCGCCGAAGAUUUCCGGGGCUAAAAUUUGGUACCGAAGCUGUGGAUUGUAACUUUAGUUACAGUGGUAGAGGAGCAUCGUGUGUUGGGAAGAAGGUAUACCGAAAGGAGUGCUGGACUACACACGAGAGAGAAUGCUGGCAUAAGUAGCGAGAGGUGAGUGAGAAUCUCACCCGUCGAAAGCCUAAGGUUUCCUGAGGAAGGCUCGUCCACUCAGGGUAAGUCGGGGCCUAAGCCAAGCCCGAAAGGGGUAGGCGAUGGACAACAGGUUAUAAUUCCUGUACUAGUAAUUUGCGUUUGAAAGAUGGGGUGACGCAGAAGGAUAAGCUUUGCGCACAGUUGGUGAUGCGUCUAAACACGUAGGAAGAGUGGAUAGGAAAAUCCGUUCACUCAUAUUCCAAGGUGUGAUGGGGAUCGAAAAACAAGUAGAGAAGUAGCUGAUUCCACACUGCCAAGAAAAGCCUCUAUUGAGUAAAUUACUACCCGUACCGCAAACCGACACAGGUAGGCGAGGAGAGUAUCCUAAGACGAGCGGAAGAACCUUUGUUAAGGAACUCGGCAAAAUAACCCCGUAACUUCGGGAGAAGGGGUGCCACGUAAGGAUAGGCGCAUGCCGCCGAAAGAACACGUGGCCGCAGUGAAUAGGCCCAAGCGACUGUUUACCAAAAACACAAGUCUCUGCUAAGUCGAAAGACGAAGUAUAGGGGCUGACACCUGCCCGGUGCUGGAAGGUUAAGGGGAAGGGUUAAUGACUUCGGUCAUGAAGCCUAGAACUUAAGCCCCAGUAAACGGCGGCCGUAACUAUAACGGUCCUAAGGUAGCGAAAUUCCUUGUCGGGUAAGUUCCGACCCGCACGAAAGGUGUAACGAUUUGGGCACUGUCUCAACAAAGGAUCCGGUGAAAUUGUAGUAUACGUGAAGAUGCGUAUUACCCGCGACAGGACGGAAAGACCCCGUGGAGCUUUACUGCAGGCUGAUAUUGGAUUUCGGUAUUACAUGUACAGAAUAGGUGGGAGGCUUUGAAGCUAGGGCGCCAGUCUUAGUGGAGCCACAAGUGGGAUACCACUCUUGUGAUGCUGAAAUUCUAACCUGGUACCAUGAAACUGGUACAGGGACACUGUCAGUUGGGCAGUUUGACUGGGGCGGUCGCCUCCUAAAGAGUAACGGAGGCGCUCAAAGGUUUCCUCAGCACGGUCGGAAAUCGUGCGAAGAGUGCAAAGGCAAAAGGAAGCUUAACUGCGACACCUACAAGUGGAGCAGAAACGAAAGUUGGACUUAGUGAUCCGGUGGUACCGCGUGGAAGGGCCAUCGCUCAACGGAUAAAAGCUACCCCGGGGAUAACAGGCUUAUCUCCCCCAAGAGUCCACAUCGACGGGGAGGUUUGGCACCUCGAUGUCGGCUCGUCUCAUCCUGGGGCUGAAGUAGGUCCCAAGGGUUGGGCUGUUCGCCCAUUAAAGAGGCACGCGAGCUGGGUUCAGAACGUCGUGAGACAGUUCGGUCCCUAUCCGUCGUGGGCGUAGGAAAUUUGAGAGGAGCUGUCCUUAGUACGAGAGGACCGGGAUGGACGAACCUCUGGUGUAUCAGUUGUCUUGCCAAAGGCAUGGCUGAGUAGCUAAGUUCGGACGGGAUAAGUGCUGAAGGCAUCUAAGCACGAAGCCCCCCUCAAGAUAAGAUUUCCCAUCAUCAUUAGAUGAGUAAGACUCCAGGAAGACCACCUGGUUGAUAGGUCUCAGGUAGAAGGAUAGCAAUAUCUGUAGCUUAGAGAUACUAAUAAGUCGAGGACUUGACC
This is a ribosomal RNA of Tissierella creatinophila DSM 6911, 2943 nucleotides long. It matches the Rfam family "Bacterial large subunit ribosomal RNA". The record is from Rfam. Lineage: Bacteria; Bacillati; Bacillota; Tissierellia; Tissierellales; Tissierellaceae.